This 433-nucleotide ribosomal RNA is filed under the name uncultured bacterium. Its description in RNAcentral is "partial 16S ribosomal RNA". It matches the Rfam family "Bacterial small subunit ribosomal RNA", at positions 29 to 507 of the family's 1533-position model. The record is from RNAcentral.
AACGAACGCUGGCGGCAUGCCUAACACAUGCAAGUCGAACGAGACCUCCGGGUCUAGUGGCGCACGGGUGCGUAACGCGUGGGAACCUGCCCCUAGGUUCGGAAUAACUCCCCGAAAGGGGUGCUAAUACCGGAUAAUGUCUUCGGACCAAAGGUUUAUCGCCUUUGGAUGGGCCCGCGUUGGAUUAGCUAGUUGGUAGGGUAAAAGCCUACCAAGGCGACGAUCCAUAGCUGGUCUGAGAGGAUGAUCAGCCACACUGGGACUGAGACACGGCCCAGACUCCUACGGGAGGCAGCAGUGGGGAAUAUUGGACAGUGGGCGGAAGCCUGAUGCAGCAAGGCCGCGUGAGUGAUGAAGGCCUGAGAGUUGUAAAGCUCUUUUACCCGGGAUGAUAAUGACAGUACCGGGAGAAUAAGCUCCGGCUAACUCCGUG